CGGAUUGAAGUCUGNAACCCGACUUCAUGAAGCUGGAUUCGCUAGUAAUCGCGCAUCAGCCACGGCGCGGUGAAUACGUUCCCGGGCCUUGUACACACCGCCCGUCACACCAUGAGAGCCGGUAACACCCGAAGUCAGGAGCCUAACCGCAAGGAGGGCGCUGCCGAAGGUGGGAUUGGUAAUUGGGUGAAGUCGUAACAAGGUACC
Molecule: ribosomal RNA, 207 nt
Filed under: uncultured bacterium
Lineage: Bacteria
Description: partial 16S ribosomal RNA
Rfam family: Bacterial small subunit ribosomal RNA
Source: RNAcentral